This 868-nucleotide ribosomal RNA is filed under the name uncultured organism. RNAcentral's name for it is "bacterial SSU rRNA". It matches the Rfam family "Bacterial small subunit ribosomal RNA", at positions 607 to 1488 of the family's 1533-position model. The record is from RNAcentral.
GCUCAACCGUAAAAUUGCCAUUGAUACUGGUUAUUCUUGAGUUCAGUUGAGGUGGCCGGAAUGAGUAAUGUACCGGUGAAAUGCUUAGAUAUUACUCAGAACACCGAUUGCGUAGGCAGCUCGCUAAACUGUAACUGACGCUGAGGCACGAAAGCGUGGGGAGCGAACAGGAUUAGAUACCCUGGUAGUCCACGCCGUAAACUAUGAAUACUGGAUGUGUGCGAUACACUGUACGCGUCUGAGCGAAAGCAUUAAGUAUUCCACCUGGGGAGUACGUCCGCAAGGAUGAAACUCAAAGGAAUUGACGGGGGCCCGCACAAGCGGAGGAACAUGUGGUUUAAUUCGAUGAUACGCGAGGAACCUUACCUGGGCUUAAAUGCAGUAUGACCGUUCUCGAAAGAGAUCUUCCAUUCGGGGCAAAUUGCAAGGUGCUGCAUGGUUGUCGUCAGCUCGUGCCGUGAGGUGUCGGGUUAAGUCCCAUAACGAGCGCAACCCUUACCGUUAGUUGCCAGCGAGUAAUGUCGGGGACUCUAGCGGAACUGCCGGUGUAAACCGCGAGGAAGGUGGGGAUGACGUCAAAUCAGCACGGCCCUUAUGUCCAGGGCUACACACGUGUUACAAUGGUCGGUACAGUGGGCAGCUACCCAGCGAUGGGAUGCUAAUCUCCAAAACCGAUCCCAGUUCGGAUUGAAGCCUGCAACUCGACUUCAUGAAGGUGGAUUCGCUAGUAAUCGCAUAUCAGCAACGAUGCGGUGAAUACGUUCCCGGGCCUUGUACACACCGCCCGUCAAGCCAUGGAAGCUUGGGGUACCUGAAGUCCGUAACCGCAAGGAGCGGCCUAGGGUAAACAAGUACUGGGGCUAAGUCG